This 99-nucleotide signal recognition particle RNA is filed under the name Horticoccus luteus. RNAcentral's name for it is "Bacterial small signal recognition particle RNA". It matches the Rfam family "Bacterial small signal recognition particle RNA". From Rfam's summary of the family: The signal recognition particle (SRP) is a universally conserved ribonucleoprotein involved in the co-translational targeting of proteins to membranes. Archaeal SRP consists of a 7S RNA and homologues of the eukaryotic SRP19 and SRP54 proteins. The record is from Rfam by way of RNAcentral. Lineage: Bacteria; Pseudomonadati; Verrucomicrobiota; Opitutia; Opitutales; Opitutaceae.
GGCCAGGUCCUGUGCAAGGGCAGGCGCGUGAACUCCGCCAGGGCCGGAAGGCAGCAACGGUAACGACGUCCUCCUUGUGCCGCAGGGUGCCUGGCCACU